This 318-nucleotide long non-coding RNA is filed under the name Capsella rubella. Its description in RNAcentral is "long non-coding RNA (CRUB_LNC003374)". Lineage: Eukaryota; Viridiplantae; Streptophyta; Magnoliopsida; Brassicales; Brassicaceae. The record is from RNAcentral.
AGACGUUACUUGUCAAAAAGUUGGUUUAAGGUUGUUAGUUGCAGUGGCGAUUGUCUAGGAUUAUUUGUUACUAGAUUGUUUCGUGUUUCUUUCUUGUCCAAAAAACAUUGUUUUUACAAGUAGUUACCAAACCCUAUUUUACUUGGAAUCAAUGAUCGAUCGAUGUGCCAUUAUUUUAAUCCAACUCAUAAUAUCGUCAAGAAAUGUUUACAAAAAAAAAAAAAAAAAAAAAAAAUUUCGUCAAGAAAUCAAGGCACUACUAGUACUGCUUUCUUGGGACUACUUUUUUUACUGUCUUCCUUCGCUUUUAGAAGUCUG